GACGAACGCUGGCGGCGUGCUUAACACAUGCAAGUCGAACGAUGAACCCGGAGCUUGCUCUGGGGGAUUAGUGGCGAACGGGUGAGUAACACGUGAGUAACCUGCCCUGGACUCUGGGAUAAGCGUUGGAAACGACGUCUAAUACCGGAUAGGACCUUGGAUCGCAUGAUCUGGGGUGGAAAGUUUUUUCGGUCUGGGAUGGACUCGCGGCCUAUCAGCUUGUUGGUGAGGUAAUGGCUCACCAAGGCGUCGACGGGUAGCCGGCCUGAGAGGGUGACCGGCCACACUGAGACUGAGACACGGCCCAGACUCCUACGGGAGGCAGCAGUGGGGAAUAUUGCACAAUGGGCGAAAGCCUGAUGCAGCAACGCCGCGUGCGGGAUGACGGCCUUCGGGUUGUAAACCGCUUUUAGUAGGGAAGAAGGGCUUCGGCUUGACGGUACCUGCAGAAAAAGGACCGGCUAACUACGU
Molecule: ribosomal RNA, 471 nt
Filed under: uncultured bacterium
Lineage: Bacteria
Description: partial 16S ribosomal RNA
Rfam family: Bacterial small subunit ribosomal RNA
Source: RNAcentral